Molecule: ribosomal RNA, 484 nt
Filed under: uncultured bacterium
Lineage: Bacteria
Description: partial 16S ribosomal RNA
Rfam family: Bacterial small subunit ribosomal RNA
Source: RNAcentral
AUUGAACGCUGGCGGCAUGCUUUACACAUGCAAGUCGAACGGCAGCGCGGGCUUCGGCCUGGCGGCGAGUGGCGAACGGGUGAGUAAUACAUCGGAACGUGCCCAGUAGUGGGGGAUAGCUCGGCGAAAGCCGGAUUAAUACCGCAUACGACCUGAGGGUGAAAGCGGGGGAUCUUCGGACCUCGCGCUAUUGGAGCGGCCGAUGGCAGAUUAGCUAGUUGGUGGGGUAAAGGCCUACCAAGGCGACGAUCUGUAGCUGGUCUGAGAGGAGGACCAGCCACACUGGGACUGAGACACGGCCCAGACUCCUACGGGAGGCAGCAGUGGGGAAUUUUGGACAAUGGGCGAAAGCCUGAUCCAGCAAUGCCGCGUGUGUGAUGAAGGCCUUCGGGUUGUAAAGCACUUUUGGCGGGAACGAAAAGGACUGUGCCAAUACCACGGUUCGAUGACGGUACCCGCAGAAUAAGCACCGGCUAACUACGUG